This 301-nucleotide ribosomal RNA is filed under the name uncultured bacterium. RNAcentral's name for it is "partial 16S ribosomal RNA". It matches the Rfam family "Bacterial small subunit ribosomal RNA", at positions 509 to 807 of the family's 1533-position model. The record is from RNAcentral.
CAGCCGCCGCGGUAAUACGUAGGGUGCGAGCGUUAAUCGGAAUUACUGGGCGUAAAGCGUGCGCAGGCGGUUUUGUAAGACAGGCGUGAAAUCCCCGGGCUCAACCUGGGAAUGGCGCUUGUGACUGCAAAGCUAGAGUGCGGCAGAGGGGGAUGGAGUUCCGCGUGUAGCAGUGAAAUGCGUAGAUAUGCGGAGGAACACCGAUGGCGAAGGCAAUCCCCUGGGCCUGCACUGACGCUCAUGCACGAAAGCGUGGGGAGCAAACAGGAUUAGAUACCCCCGUAGUCCCUGUCUCUUAUAC